This 598-nucleotide ribosomal RNA is filed under the name uncultured bacterium. RNAcentral describes it as "bacterial SSU rRNA". It matches the Rfam family "Bacterial small subunit ribosomal RNA", at positions 28 to 642 of the family's 1533-position model. The record is from RNAcentral.
GAUGAACGUUGGCGGCGUGCCUAACACAUGCAAGUCGAACGGGAGCCAUUAAACUCGUUUAAUGGUGAGAGUGGCGAACGGGUGAGUAACACGUAGCUAACCUGCCCUCAAGAGGGGGAUAACCAGUGGAAACAGUGGCUAAUACCCCAUAAGCUCACAGUGAGUAAGUAGCAGUGAGAAAAGUUCAGGCGCUUGAGGAGGGGGCUGCGGUCCAUCAGCUAGAUGGUGGGGUAAAAGCCUACCAUGGCAACGACGGAUAGGGGACCUGAGAGGGUGACCCCCCACACUGGGACUGAGACACGGCCCAGACUCCUACGGGAGGCAGCAGUGAGGAAUAUUGCACAAUGGGCGCAAGCCUGAUGCAGCGACGCCGCGUGGGCGAUGAAGGCCUUCGGGUCGUAAAGCCCUUUUCUGCGUGACGAGGAAGGACGGUAGCGCAGGAAUAAGUGUCGGCUAACUACGUGCCAGCAGCCGCGGUAAAACGUAGGACGCAAACGUUAUCCGGAAUUACUGGGCGUAAAGCGCGUGUAGGCGGAAGCGCAUGUCGGAUAUGAAAGCUCCUGGCUAAACUGGGAGAGGUUGUUCGAGACUGCGUUCU